Molecule: ribosomal RNA, 492 nt
Filed under: uncultured bacterium
Lineage: Bacteria
Description: partial 16S ribosomal RNA
Rfam family: Bacterial small subunit ribosomal RNA
Source: RNAcentral
AGUGAACGCUGGCGGUAGGCCUAACACAUGCGAGUCGAACGGCAGCACAGUAAGAGCUUGCACUUACGGGUGGCGAGUGGCGGACGGGUGAGGAAUACAUCGGAAUCUACUUUUUCGUGGGGGAUAACGUAGGGAAACUUACGCUAAUACCGCAUACGACCUACGGGUGAAAGCAGGGGAUCUUCGGACCUUGCGCGAUUGAAUGAGCCGAUGUCGGAUUAGCUAGUUGGCGGGGUAAAGGCCCACCAAGGCGACGAUCCGUAGCUGGUUUGAGAGGAUGAUCAGCCACACUGGAACUGAGACACGGUCCAGACUCCUACGGGAGGCAGCAGUGGGGAAUAUUGGACAAUGGGCGCAAGCCUGAUCCAGCCAUACCGCGUGGGUGAAGAAGGCCUUCGGGUUGUAAAGCCCUUUUGUUGGGAAAGAAAAGCAGCAGGUUAAUACCCCGCUGUUCUGACGGUACCCAAAGAAUAAGCACCGGCUAACUUCGUG